This 787-nucleotide long non-coding RNA is filed under the name Sarcophilus harrisii (Tasmanian devil). RNAcentral describes it as "lncRNA (ENSSHAG00000028693.1)". Lineage: Eukaryota; Metazoa; Chordata; Mammalia; Dasyuromorphia; Dasyuridae. The record is from RNAcentral.
CCUACUCCUACCAACCUUAUUCGGGGCCCAUCUCCCCAGCCCCUCGGCCUUUGCCCCGCCCCGCCUCGUCUUUCCCGAGCUCACUACUAUGCUGCCAAGGACAGGCUGUGGGGACCUGGAUUUGCUAGGUCCAGGCCACCUCCACUUUCCAAACUUUGAGAGUCCAGGAGCAGAAGCAAAAGAGUGGGACGGGCGGGGUCGAGAUGCGAAAGCUGCCUAAGGAGGUUGGGGAGAAGGGACUAGCAUCCGCGAUGAAUUUCUCAAAGGACAAGUCAGCCCAGCCAGAGUAAAAAAGAAGAAGGAGCAGGAAGAGGAAGAGGAGGAAAAGGAGGAGAGAAGGAAGAAGAGGAAAUGAAAAGGGAGGAGAAGGAAGAAGAAGAAGAAGAUGAUGAUAAUGAAAGAGGGGAAAAGAGAGGAGGAGGAGAAAGAUUUGGGGCUGGACCUAUACAUUCAUUUGUAUAGAUUCUGAGAAACUGUCCUGGAGGUAUUUGUUUCUAUUCCAUGCUCUUUGUCCUUCUCUGUGUCAAGUCCUAGAGAUGAUCCACCAGAGACCAGGAAUUUAAGCCAUGAUGACCUUGAACCUAUGAUUGCAGACAGGAUGGUACAGGCUGCCAGGCUGGCAUGGAAGCCCCCAAAAGCCAGAGUAAUCGUUACUCAGACCUGAAGUAGACUUGGGCUUAUGCUGUGCUCUGCAGGAACUGAGCUAAAUUAUGGACAUAAUCUUCUUCAACUCCUUAGAAGAUGGCAAAAGGGGGAGAAGGGAAAUGAUGUAUUCCCUGCGUUGGGG